GAUGAACGCUAGCGGCGUGCCUAAUACAUGCAAGUCGAACGCAUUGAAAGAAGUGCUUGCACUUUUCAAUUUGAGUGGCGAACGGGUGAGUAACACGUGGGCAACCUACCUGAUAGCGGGGGAUAACGAGUGGAAACAUUCGCUAAUACCGCAUAACAAUAGAGAAGGCAUCUUCUUUAUUUAAAAGGCGCUUUCAAGCGUCACUAUCAGAUGGGCCCGCGGUGCAUUAGUUAGUUGGUGGGGUGAAGGCCUACCAAGACGAUGAUGCAUAGCCGAGUUGAGAGACUGAUCGGCCACAUUGGGACUGAGACACGGCCCAAACUCCUACGGGAGGCUGCAGUAGGGAAUCUUCCACAAUGGACGAAAGUCUGAUGGAGCAACGCCGCGUGUGUGAUGAAGGCUUUCGGGUCGUAAAGCACUGUUGUAUGGGAAGAAAUGCUAGGCUAGGAAAUGAGCUUAGUUUGACGGUACCAUACCAGAAAGGGACGGCUAAAUACGUGCCAGCCGCCGCGGUAA
Molecule: ribosomal RNA, 516 nt
Filed under: uncultured bacterium
Lineage: Bacteria
Description: partial 16S ribosomal RNA
Rfam family: Bacterial small subunit ribosomal RNA
Source: RNAcentral